CCUACGGGUGGCUGCAGUGGGGAAUAUUGCACAAUGGGCGCAAGCCUGAUGCAGCCAUGCCGCGUGUGUGAAGAAGGCCUUCGGGUUGUAAGGCACUUUCAGCGGGGAGGAAGGCGGUGAGGUUAAUAACCUCAUCGAUUGACGUUACCCGCAGAAGAAGCACCGGCUAACUCCGUGCCAGCGGCCGCGGUAAUACGGAGGGUGCAAGCGUUAAUCGGAAUUACUGGGCGUAAAGCGCACGCAGGCGGUCUGUCAAGUCGGAUGUGAAAUCCCCGGGCUCAACCUGGGAACUGCAUUCGAAACUGGCAGGCUAGAGUCUUGUAGAGGGGGGUAGAAUUCCAGGUGUAGCGGUGAAAUGCGUAGAGAUCUGGAGGAAUACCGGUGGCGAAGGCGGCCCCCUGGACAAAGACUGACGCUCAGGUGCGAAAGCGUGGGGAGCAAACAGGAUUAGAUACCCUUGUAGUC
Molecule: ribosomal RNA, 465 nt
Filed under: uncultured Klebsiella sp.
Lineage: Bacteria; Pseudomonadati; Pseudomonadota; Gammaproteobacteria; Enterobacterales; Enterobacteriaceae
Description: bacterial SSU rRNA
Rfam family: Bacterial small subunit ribosomal RNA
Source: RNAcentral